Molecule: ribosomal RNA, 215 nt
Filed under: uncultured Sphingobacteriales bacterium
Lineage: Bacteria; Pseudomonadati; Bacteroidota; Sphingobacteriia; Sphingobacteriales
Description: partial 16S ribosomal RNA
Rfam family: Bacterial small subunit ribosomal RNA
Source: RNAcentral
GGAAGGUGGGGAUGACGUCAAAUCAGCACGGCCCUUAUGUCCAGGGCUACACACGUGUUACAAUGGUCGGUACAGAGGGCAGCUACCUGGUGACAGGAUGCUAAUCUCGAAAACCGGCCUCAGUUCGGAUCGAAGUCUGCAACUCGACUUCGUGAAGCUGGAUUCGCUAGUAAUCGCGCAUCAGCCAUGGCGCGGUGAAUACGUUCCCGGGCCUU